This 196-nucleotide small nuclear RNA is filed under the name Equus caballus (horse). RNAcentral describes it as "7SK RNA". It matches the Rfam family "7SK RNA", at positions 1 to 198 of the family's 331-position model. From Rfam's summary of the family: 7SK was discovered as an abundant small nuclear RNA in the mid-70s but a possible function has only recently been suggested. Two independent studies have found that 7SK RNA binds the CDK9/cyclin T complex (known as elongation factor P-TEFb). The record is from Rfam by way of RNAcentral. Lineage: Eukaryota; Metazoa; Chordata; Mammalia; Perissodactyla; Equidae.
GGGUGUGAGUGGCUCUGGCUGCAACGUCUGUCAUUCCAUUGAUCGCCAGGCUGGCUUCAUUAGUUCUGGCUGGCUAGGCUAGGGUCUCCUUUCUCCCUCCCCCUUCCAUGUGCAUCUCUUCUCAAGCUGCAUGCUCUGUCAAAGAAGGCAUCCUUCUCUAGUAGAGUGGACCAUUCUUCAGACAAGAGUCUACUUA